Molecule: ribosomal RNA, 274 nt
Filed under: uncultured bacterium
Lineage: Bacteria
Description: partial 16S ribosomal RNA
Rfam family: Bacterial small subunit ribosomal RNA
Source: RNAcentral
AUACUUAGGGUGCAAGCGUUAAUCGGAAUUACUGGGCGUAAAGCGCUCGAAGGCGGCUUGUAAAGUCGGAUGUGAAAUCCCCGGGCUCAACCUGGGAACUGCAUUCGAUACUGGCAGGCUAGAGUAUAGUAGAGGCAAGUGGAAUUUCGGGUGUAGCGGUGAAAUGCGUAGAUAUCCGAAGGAACAUCAGUGGCGAAGGCGACUUGCUGGACUAAUACUGACGCUGAGGAGCGAAAGCGUGGGGAGCAAACGGGAUUAGAAACCCUGGUAGUCC